AUACCUUUCUCGGCCUUUUGGCUAAGAUCCAGUGUAGUAUCUGUUCUUAUUAGUUUAAUAUCUGAUACGUGGACCAAUGGUCCACACGAUAUUAAAUUAAUUUCUUUUGGGGGAGGGUCCGCCACAGUAGCUUGCUAUUGGGGCUCUCGCGCAUCGCCCAAGUGUUGCACUAUUGCAUGGGCCUGGCGCACCCCAC
This 196-nucleotide small nuclear RNA is filed under the name Prunus persica (peach). Its description in RNAcentral is "snRNA U2". It matches the Rfam family "U2 spliceosomal RNA". From Rfam's summary of the family: U2 is a small nuclear RNA (snRNA) component of the spliceosome (involved in pre-mRNA splicing). Complementary binding between U2 snRNA (in an area lying towards the 5' end but 3' to hairpin I) and the branchpoint sequence (BPS) of the intron results the bulging out of an unpaired adenosine, on the BPS, which initiates a nucleophilic attack at the intronic 5' splice site, thus starting the first of two transesterification reactions that mediate splicing. Lineage: Eukaryota; Viridiplantae; Streptophyta; Magnoliopsida; Rosales; Rosaceae. The record is from Rfam by way of RNAcentral.